Molecule: non-coding RNA, 154 nt
Filed under: Acetobacter aceti
Lineage: Bacteria; Pseudomonadati; Pseudomonadota; Alphaproteobacteria; Acetobacterales; Acetobacteraceae
Description: FMN sequence
Rfam family: FMN riboswitch aptamer (RFN element)
About the family: The RFN element is a highly conserved domain that is found frequently in the 5'-untranslated regions of prokaryotic mRNAs that encode for flavin mononucleotide (FMN) biosynthesis and transport proteins. This element is a metabolite-dependent riboswitch that directly binds FMN in the absence of proteins.
Source: RNAcentral
AGACGUUCUCAGGGCGGGGUGCAAUUCCCCACCGGCGGUAAUCGCUCCCGAAAGGAAGCGGAAGCCCGCGAGCGCCUCCUUCUUAUGAGGGAGGGUCAGCAGAUCCGGUGUGAUUCCGGAGCCGACGGUAUAGUCCGGAUGAGAGAGAACAGCG